UCUCGGCUCGGUGUCGUUCACGCCGCGGGCUGGACGGCUCUGCGGAACCGCCCGUAGUUGCGGUUAUCCGUCAGAUCGAACGGGUUAACCGCGUUCUCUUCCCAGUUCGCGUCGCGGCGGAACCGCCCGUAGUUGUUGUUGUCCGCAAGGUCGAACGGGUUGAACGCCUUCUCUUCCCAGUUGGCGUCGCGGCGGAAUCGACCGAAGUUGUUGUUGUCCGCGAGCGAAAACGGGUUCUUCCAGUCGAAACCCGACACGGGGGCCAUGUCUUCGGCGGCGGCGACGUCGGUCUCUUUCGCGCCGCGGCGGAACCGUCCGUAGUUGUUGUUGUUCUCGAGGUCGAACGGGUUGAACGCCUUCUCUUCCCAGUCCGCGUCGCGGCGGAACCGUCCGAAGUUGUUGUUGUCCGCGAGCGAGAACGGGUUCUUCAGAACGAAACCCGACACGGGGGCCAUGUCUUUGGCGGCGGUUUGCGGCUUCUCGCGGCGGAACCGCCCGACGUUCGCCUUCUGCGUCACCUGCCUCAGCGCCGCCGGGUCGCCUUUAACGAACCCGUCGUGCGAAAACUCGAG
This 572-nucleotide long non-coding RNA is filed under the name Micromonas pusilla. RNAcentral's name for it is "long non-coding RNA (MPUS_LNC000119)". The record is from RNAcentral. Lineage: Eukaryota; Viridiplantae; Chlorophyta; Mamiellophyceae; Mamiellales; Mamiellaceae.